UGCGUAGGCGGAUUAAUAAGUCAGUGGUGAAAUCUUUCGGCUCAACCGAGAAACUGCCAUUGAUACUGUUAAUCUUGAGUUCGGUUGAGGUAGGCGGAAUGUGUAAUGUAGCGGUGAAAUGCUUAGAUAUUACACAGAACACCAAUUGCGUAGGCAGCUUACUAGACCGACACUGACGCUGAGGCACGAAGGCGUGGGGAGCGAACAGGAUUAGAUACCCUGGUAGUC
RNAcentral lists this ribosomal RNA (228 nucleotides) under uncultured bacterium. RNAcentral's name for it is "partial 16S ribosomal RNA". It matches the Rfam family "Bacterial small subunit ribosomal RNA", at positions 568 to 795 of the family's 1533-position model. The record is from RNAcentral.